This is a long non-coding RNA of Micropterus dolomieu (smallmouth bass), 634 nucleotides long. RefSeq lists it as uncharacterized. Lineage: Eukaryota; Metazoa; Chordata; Actinopteri; Centrarchiformes; Centrarchidae. The record is from RefSeq and is a predicted model, not a curated record. The transcript has 3 exons.
GCACACCACGUUGGCCAUUUUGAUGUCCACUUCAUCGUCGCAGACUGUCCCCCAGGUGUUGUUGUGAAGCACCUCCACGCGCCCUUCGUGCGGUUCUCGCCCAAAGUUGCCCGCCAAACGCACCUUCGCGGCUGGUGCGCGAGCCGCCCUGCGCUGAGAGGACGUGGUCCGUCGAGGUUCAGCACGAGCGGGACAGGAGAGGGACAGCAGCAGCGUGAGGAGGAAGCUCAAGCAGAGGGUGCGGGUCAUUGUAACUGAGAGGAGGGGGUCUGCAGAUACUUCCUGAGCCCUAAACUAUGGUGCAUUAAGACUGAGUAAUUCCCUUCAACACAAGUCAAACAGCCAGCCAGUGAGAGGCUAAUAACGGAACAACGGUGACAUCCUCUGGACAAGUACAACCACCGUAGCCUGGACCCACCUUCAUGCCCAUGAGAGCACUUCCCUUGCGGAAAUGUCCUUUGGGCCAGUCUGGGGCCUGCUGAAUGGAGCGUUCAGCAUCUGCCAGGGCCUGAGGGUACUGCUCCAAGCAGUAAUAGCAAUAGGAACGAUUCCCAAAGAACCUACAGGACAUUAUAUCAAAAAAAAUGCAAAAGGAAUAUGUUACAUGUGUUUACAAUGUAUGCACUCUCUUGUA